ACGUGGCAUACGGCUCAGUAACACGUAGUCAACAUGCCCAGGGGACGUGGAUAACCUCGGGAAACUGAGGAUAAACCGCGAUAGGCCAUGAUUUCUGGAAUGGUUCAUGGCCGAAAUCUAUAUGGCCCCUGGAUUGGACUGCGGCCGAUCAGGCUGUUGGUGAGGUAAUGGCCCACCAAACCUGUAACCGGUACGGGCUCUGAGAGGAGGAGCCCGGAGAUGGGCACUGAGACAAGGGCCCAGGCCCUAUGGGGCGCAGCAGGCGCGAAAUCUCUGCAAUAGGCGAAAGCUUGACAGGGUUACUCUGAGUGGUUCCCGUUAAGGGGAUCUUUUGGCACCUUUAAAAAUGGUGCAGAAUAAGGGGUGGGCAAGUCUGGUGUCAGCCGCCGCGGUAAUACCAGCACCCCGAGUGGUCGGGACGAUUAUUGGGCCUAAAGCAUCCGUAGCCGGUACUGCAAGUCUUCCGUUAAAUCCACCUGCUUAACAGUUGGGCUGCGGGGGAUACUACAGCGCUAGGAGGCGGGAGAGGCAAGCGGUACUCAAUGGGUAGGGGUAAAAUCCGCUGAUCCAUUGAAGACCACCAGUGGCGAAGGCGGCUUGCCAGAACGCGCUCGACGGUGAGGGAUGAAAGCUGGGGGAGCAAACCGGAUUAGAUACCCGGGUAGUCCCAGCUGUAAACGAUGCAGCUCGGUGAAUGGGCUGGCCUUGUGCCAGCCCAGUGCCGCAGGGAAGCCGUUAAGUCUGCCGCCUGGGGAGUACGGUCGCAAGACUGAAACUUAAAGGAAUUGGCGGGGGAGCACCACAAGGGGUGAAGCCUGCGGUUCAAUUGGAUUCAACGCCGGG
RNAcentral lists this ribosomal RNA (843 nucleotides) under uncultured archaeon. RNAcentral's name for it is "bacterial SSU rRNA". It matches the Rfam family "Archaeal small subunit ribosomal RNA", at positions 76 to 922 of the family's 1478-position model. The record is from RNAcentral.